Non-coding RNA from Podarcis lilfordi (Lilford's wall lizard), 333 nucleotides. The record is from the annotation of a GenBank genome assembly. Lineage: Eukaryota; Metazoa; Chordata; Lepidosauria; Squamata; Lacertidae.
GGAUGUGAGGGCGAUCUGGCUGCGACAUCUGUCACCCCAUUGAUCGCCAGGGUUGAUUCGGCUGAUCUGGCUGGCUAGGCGGGUGUCCCCUUCCUCCCUCACCGCUCCAUGUGCAUCCCUCCCGAAGCUGCGUGCUCGGUGGAAGAGGACGACCAUCCCAGAUAGGAGGAGUGUACCAUUCUUCGGUCAAGGGUAUACGAUAGCUGCACUUCCCUGCUAGAACCUCCAAACAAGCUCCAGAAAGCAAUUUCUUGUCCCGUGACUCAUGUGAUCUCUACUUUUGGGGACUUUAUAUCUUUACAGGAGCAGGAAGAUUCAGAUCCGGAACAUUCC